UUUACAGUCACUCAGGCUUAUAACCCAAGUUAUAAAGGUCAAAGCUCUGAAUCAAUUAAGAUGUUUUAGAGCAAGAGAAGAAAUAUCUGUAAUUAUUCAAAUGGACUGGAGACAAAAGCAUUAAAAAUGGAGGGCCAGACCCUCGGCUGGUAGAAAGAGGCAGUGUUGCCUUGUGGACAGAAUACUGCACUGGGACUCAGGAGACCUGGGUUCUCUUCCCAGCUCUGCUAUUGGGCUGCUAGUGACCUUGGGUAAGACAUGUCACCUCUCCGUGCCUCAGUUUCCCAUUUGUAAAAUGGGGAUGAUACUGACCUCCUUUGUGAAGUGCUUUGAGAUCUAUGGUGGAAGCACACAAUAUAAAAGCUAGGAAUUAGUAUUAUUAAAUUAUCAUUAUUAAAUUUAAAUCUCAGUGUCUGAUUUACCCCAGCUGUGGAUCUCGCCCUCCAACUGCACAUGCCUGUCUAUUUACUAAUAAUGCAGGGUCAGAGUUCUAGUCGCUCGUGUUCAGCCAAGAUUCAUCCUUUUGACUCUUCAGUCCCAGUUCUCCACUGGACAUAAAUCAUCAAAUCUGGAUGUACUGCCAAUCCCCUUGUCAAUGUCUAAUUUCCAUGGCAAGAGGCCAUUACUCACUGAGCUGCCUUGGGAAAGUCAGACUAUGCAGGGAUUGGAGGAUGUCUUUGAAAUAGGUCAAUUGGAAUAUCCACCCUGACGCAUUCACACUCAUGAUCACCCAGUCCAAGGCUCACCCUUCACUUUUCCUGAGGAUUGUGGCAUAUCCAAGAUGCAACAGAGUCAGCAAUGGCCCUCACAGUCUCUUGGUAUCCUGUGUGCUCCAAGAAGAUAGAGGGGCAGGGUGAAUGCUCUAGUGACUUUGGACACAACUAUACAUCAAGUAACAUUAGAAGGAAGGGCUUGGGGGUGACCAUAUCAAAAUAGAAAGAUAUUCCUGAGCAACCGGCACUCCCAUUCACAGUGCUGCAGGCCACUAUGCCUUUCAUGUGAGAGCACAUAACAUCUCUAGGGCAACUAUAGCAGUCGCUUGCAUGUAAGCGAUCAGAAAAACAGGUGUUUAUUUCUAGCUGUCUUCUGGGUGAGGAAGUGUUUUGUCCUUUUAAAAGACAGUCAACUAUGUCUAUUUUUAUUCUUCCUCUUCUCUCUCCUCCAUUUGUUUUGGCACCUGGAGUGAACCUGCUUCUAUUACACUUUGCCAAUAGCCAAAUGGGUCAACUUAAUGUACUUAACUUCUCAAUCCCAGAGUCCAGCCUAUACUAGUGUCAUGAGUGAAACAGACCUGGUUUUUUGUUUUUAAGUCUAUGCACAAGAACAACCUGUGAUCUACAGAAGAUAAUAUGGGACCAGGACAAACAGACUUUACUACCUCUAUUUUAAAAAAGGUUAUCACUGCAAGACUUAAAGUCAUCUGAAGGGCAGCAAAGAACAGCUUGCAGCAUGUUUACUGGCCUGCACUCUGUGUUGAUAGAGUACUUGUUCAGCAUUCUUUGUUGCUGCUAUUCCUUUAACCUUCAGCAGCACCACUGAAUUCCAAAGGAUUGCAGGACCCUCAUGUCCAUCAGCCUGGAGUUAUAAAACUUUCUAUUCAAUAAUUUGCCAAUAUUUGGAGUGUUCAAACAGAAGACAACACUGUGGGAAAAAAACCUUUUCUUAAGGGUUUAUUACUGUUCUUUAGUGCAAUCAUUUAAAAGGGGAUAGUCCCGCAGCAUCAGUCUCAGGCAAUUCAAGAGCUAGAGGCUUGAUGUUCAGGAAUGCAGGGCACCCAUUUGAAGUCAGUGAGAUCUGCAGGUGCUUAGCACCUUUGAAAAAGAAAAAGAAAAAAAGCAGACCCUGUGUGCAUAUUUUAUACACAGGUAAGAAAGAAGCAAAGAAAAACUAUAAAACCAAUUACUUCAGCAAUUGUGUAUCUGGUAUGUCAGUGAACUCACAAUAUACAACUCUUGGAUAAACUGGCUUAGACUUAUUUUAUCAUGCCUUAGGCGCCCUAUGUAACUUAUUCACUGCCCUCCUCCCAAACUAAGACUCCCCCAAACAACCAAAUACACAUACAUAGGAACUGCAUGACUAGGUAGACAAGACUCCACAAUCUUGUGGGCCAAAUUAGGAGAGAUUAUUCAAUUUUGCCGCAAGGGAGUUGAGUAGGGUAGAAAAAUGACGUGAUCUCAAUUAAUGCUGCUAUUUCACAUGACUAUUGCUUGAAUUUAAGUUCACUUGCUGUUUGAGGAAGUGACCUAAUACAUCUAGUCAGCCAUAGAAAUAUAAUUUGGUAUUUGAUAUUUAGCCAAGAUACUGAAUUUUGAUUAGCCUAUUUAGUGUAUUAUAUUAGCAAACACCUGCAUUAGAAAUUACAGUUAUUUAAAUCUCCCUAAAGUUAUUAAAUUGUGGAAAACUAUUUGACUACAUUCUUAUUUUAAGCUUCAUGCCAAUUGACAAUUGAGUUAUCUAUUCCAUGUGAAAACAACAGUUAAUUGCUUAUGCCUCCUAAAAAAAUGUAACACAGACUUUCAAUUAUGGAAGGGCUUGAACGCCUAAUAAAAUGAACCACCAUCCCACAAAUUCUGUAUUCCUCAGUCUUCUCUUUAAAUAUCUGUAUUUUAGGUUAUUUCAAAGCGUCUUUAUACCAUAUUUUAACUCCCAAAACUUAAGACCCACAGACAUUUCUACACCUGAUUUUUAAAAUCUAUUAUAAAGGUAUACAACACAUGGAAAAGCCAAUUUUUUCCAUUUGCUAGAAAAACAGUCUCGUUCAUUUUCAGAGAAACAGGUAUACUAAAGAAAGUUAAAAAUAAUCCACACCACAGAUAUUUAAACAAGAGGGUGUAUGUUUUAAUAUACACAUAACAUUAUCAGAGUCAAUUACAUGUGAAACUUUUCACCUCACAGAUUCCUAGAUAAUAAUGGACCUGUUUUGCCAAUGGAAAGAAAAACAGGUUUGCUCCUGCAUCAGGCUUCUGUAACUGUGUCAAACCGGAUAUACUAGGACAACUAGAAAGAGUACAACCAUUGCAACACGUUUCUUUAAAAAAAAAAAAAAACCCUUAUAGGCAGAGGAAAUGAGAGAAAUGUAGUAAGACUGAUUCACUUUUACCUGUACAAAACAAACCAGCCUGAUCAGAUCUUUCCUAAUACCACUUCUUGACACCCACCCAAACACAUACUACACCCCUUAGUCCCUAAAAUGAAAGAGCUGAGUUGGCAGCUGGCCCAGCCAAUGAAUAACCUGGUUGAAGGUGUCUGAUUUAGACAGGCCACAGUUUCCUUAUUACAGGAAGUGUAAACUGUAUCAAUGCAAUCAACAGGGGGCAUUUCACAUCCAGAUGUGUCUGCUUUUUUUCCCCCCCUUGGUCUUAAACUUCAUGAAUUUUAUUCA
This is a long non-coding RNA of Chelonia mydas (Green sea turtle), 3382 nucleotides long. RefSeq lists it as uncharacterized. The record is from RefSeq and is a predicted model, not a curated record. NCBI's taxonomy places the organism in Eukaryota, Metazoa, Chordata, Testudines, Cheloniidae. The transcript is spliced from 3 exons.